UGCAACUAAAGGUGACCUCUUCGUUUGAAAGUUACCGUUUGGAGAUGACCUUGCGGCCCAUUAGCUUGUUGGCGGGGUAACGGCCCACCAAUGCUGCGAUGGGUAGCCGGCCUGAGAGGGUGAUCGGCCACAUUGGGACUGAGAUACGGCCCAGACUCCUACGGGAGGCAGCAGUAGGGAAUUUUGCGCAAUGGACGAAAGUCUGACGCAGCAACGCCGCGUGAGCGAUGAAGGUCUUCGGAUCGUAAAGCUCUGUUGAGUGGGAAGAAACGUCUCGGGGUUAAUAUCUCCGAUGCCUGACUGUACCACUCGAGGAAGCUCCGGCCAACUACGUGCCAGCAGCCGCGGUAAUACGUAGGGAGCGAGCGUUGUUCGGAAUCACUGGGCGUAAAGGGAGUGCAGGCGGAAAGGUAAGUCAGAAGUGUAAUCUACGGGCUUAACCCGUAUCUCGCUUUUGAUACUGCUUUUCUUGAGUAGUGGAGAGGGAAACGGAAUUCCAGGUGUAGCGGUGGAAUGCGUAGAUAUCUGGAAGAACACCAGUAGCGAAGGCGGUUUCCUGGCCACAUACUGACGCUGAGGCUCGAAAGCGUGGGGAGCAAACAGGAUUAGAUACCCUGGUAGUCCACGCCGUAAACGAUGGGCACUAGAUAUCGGGGAAUUCGAUUUCUUCGGUGUCGCAGUUAACGCGAUAAGUGCCCCGCCUGGGGAGUACGCCCGCAAGGGUGAAACUCAAAGGAAUUGACGGGGGCCCGCACAAGCGGUGGAGCAUGCGCUUUAAUUCGAUGCAACGCGAAGAACCUUACCUGGGUUUGACAUGGGAGUGAAAGUUCCUAGAGAUAGGAACCUUUCCUUCGGGAACACUCCACACAGGUGCUGCAUGGUUGUCGUCAGCUCGUGUCGUGAGAUGUUGGGUUAAGUCCCGCAACGAGCGCAACCCUCGCCCUUAGUUGCCAUCAGGUAAUGCUGGGAACUCUAGGGGGACCGCCUGGAACAACCAGGAGGAAGGUGGGGAUGAUGUCAAAUCAUCAUGGCUCUUACGUCCAGGGCUAGACGCGUGCUACAAUGGUCGGUACAGAAGGAUGCCAAGUCGUGAGACCGAGCUAAUCCAUGAAAACCGGCCUCAGUUCGGAUUGGAGUCUGCAAUUCGACUCCAUGAAGGUGGAAUCGCUAGUAAUCGCGGAUCAGC
RNAcentral lists this ribosomal RNA (1186 nucleotides) under uncultured organism. RNAcentral's name for it is "bacterial SSU rRNA". It matches the Rfam family "Bacterial small subunit ribosomal RNA", at positions 196 to 1353 of the family's 1533-position model. The record is from RNAcentral.